CCUACGGGGGGCAGCAGUGGGGGAUAUUGCACAAUGGGGGAAACCCUGAUGCAGCGACGCCGCGUGUGGGAAGACGGUCCUCUGGAUUGUAAACCACUGUCCCCAGGGACGAAGAUGACGGUACCUGGGGAGGAAGCUCCGGCUAACUACGUGCCAGUAGCCGCGGUAAUACGUAGGGAGCGAGCGUUGUCCGGAAUUACUGGGUGUAAAGGGAGCGUAGGCGGGGAUGUAAGUUGGGUGUCAAAACUACCGGCUCAACCGCGGAACUGCUUUGGAAACUUUUUUGCUGGAGUACCGGAGAGAUAAGCGGAAUUCCUAGUGUAGCGGUGAAAUGCGUAGAUAUUAGGAGGAACACCAGUGGCGAAGGCGGCUUACUGGACGGUAACUGACGUUGAGGCUCGAAAGCGUGGGGAGCAAACAGGAUUAGAUACCCUGGUAGUC
Molecule: ribosomal RNA, 441 nt
Filed under: uncultured bacterium
Lineage: Bacteria
Description: partial 16S ribosomal RNA
Rfam family: Bacterial small subunit ribosomal RNA
Source: RNAcentral